AGGAAUGUAUAGCAAUUGCUACUUGCAUCAUUGUAAAAUUGAUGCAAGAUCGACUAUGUUGAAUAAAAUUCUAGGUAGAAUUUUGAUAAUGACAUUAUCUGCCUAUGUGUCUUGACCAAAUUACGUGCCAGCAGUCGCGGUAAUACGUAGAAGACUAGUGUUAUUCAUGUGUAAUCGGUUUAAAGGGUACCUAGACGGCAGAUCAAGCUUAUAAUAAAUUAUAAAAGGACUAAUCUGCUAGAGUUACUUGUGAGGGGGCUAUAAAGUACUAAUGGUGUAGAGAUGAAAUUCUGUGAUACCUUUUUUCGAAAGAAAAGCUAUGGCACGGGUAUAGGCGAAGGCAUCCCCUUAUGUGAUAACUGACGUUGAGGGACGAAGGCUUCGUAUAACGAACAGGAUUAGAUACCCUGGUAGUUGAGGCAGAAAAUGAUGAAUGUCAUAGAUUAGAUAUAUAAGUUUAUUCUAUAAAUGAAAGUGUAAGCAUUCCACCUCAAGAGUAAUUUGGCAACAUUGGAACUGAAAUCAUUAGACCGUUUCUGAAACCAGUAGUGAAGUAUGUUGUUUAAUUUGACUGUCCGCAAAAAACCUUACCACAAUUUGAAUAUUUAUAUUGUUUAUUGUUAUCUCAUUAAUUUUCUUCUUUUUUUCCAUAAAUAACUAAACAAUUAAAUUAAAAAACAAUAAUAGAAAUAGAUAAUUAAAAAAACUUUAUAGAUGUAAUAAAGAAAAUUAAUGUAGAGGCAAUAAGAUAUAUUUACAAGCGUUGCACGGCUGUCUUCAGUUAAUGUCGUGAGACUAUGGUUAGUUCCAUUAAUUAACGUAAACCCUUACUUUAUUUUUAUAUAAAGUAGUUCUCCACUAUAUAGGAUAUGAU
Molecule: ribosomal RNA, 874 nt
Filed under: Bulbothrix coronata
Lineage: Eukaryota; Fungi; Ascomycota; Lecanoromycetes; Lecanorales; Parmeliaceae
Description: SSU rRNA
Rfam family: Bacterial small subunit ribosomal RNA
Source: RNAcentral